AAUAAAAUAGUCAAUUAUAUAAUACCAUUUUUUUCAUAUUUAUCCUUAUUGAGAAUAAAUAUAGUUAGUUAGUUAGUUAGUUUGUUGAGCACACCUGACCGUGUAUUUGGUCUCUGUUAUGGUGUUUUGGUGUAUAUAUAAUCACAGUGGAAACAUUGUUUUAAUCAAUGAAAAAGUCACGAAUUUCUUUAGCUUAACAUUCAUUCAUACAAAAUCUGUACAGGUGCACAGAUUAUGACUUUCAUCAUGGUAUCAUAGAGCCAGGUCAUUCUUUGAGCCAGAAAAAAGCCAUCUGCAACAACUGAAGCUCAAGAAAUGGGUCGAAAAAUGCAAGAAUGCAAACCUAUAAAGAAGCUUCUCCAACAGACGAUAUUCUAUCGCCCAAGAACCUGUGUCUAGUUCAAGAAAUGGACCCGAAAAACAAGAAUCCGAAUCCAUCGGUAUGUUGACCCGAUGCACUGCACAGAAUGGGUGAAAACUGUGCGUUUUGAGCUCUUAAGGAAACGAUCUACCCGAUUCUCGAUCCUUCUCAUUUACCCUAGGUUCUACAACUUUCAUCAUCUUUCCAGAUAUUUCGUCCUCUUCCUCUCGAAAUUCUUCUUCUCACAGAUCACAGAGAUAUUCGAUAUGCCCGGCGAUGAAAGAAAUGCUGUUGCUCCUAUCAAUUUCACUCAUGAGCUAUAUCUUCAUCCUUCCGAUACGUAAGCAUCAGCCCUCGUGCCUCAUGUUCUUGCUAGUCCUGAAAACUACACCAUAUGGAGUCGAUCGAUGCGGAUUACGUUGCUCGGAAAACACAAACUCGGGUUUAUUGAUGGAUCUUGUAAGAAGGAAGCUUAAGAUCCGUCUCUUCAUGCUCAAUGGGAAUGGUAUAAUGCCAUCGUGCUUUCCUGGUUGCUGAGCUCUGUUUCAAAGGAAUUAGCCAAUGGAAUGGCAUAUGCUCAUAUUGCAUCUCUUGUCUAGGCAGAUCUCAAGGAAAGGUUUGAUAAGGUUAUUGGAUCUCGCAUAUUUGCUAUACACCGUGAGAUUAACUCUCAUGUUCAGGGAUCUCUCACGGUGUCAAGCUAUUACACAAGGCUGAAAGAGCUUUGGGAAGAACAAUCCUCCUUGAUCGCGGGGCCAACAUAUAAGUGUGAGACUUUAAAAGUUUAUUUCGAUCUAAUGUAACAGCAACGUCUUUUGCAAUUUUUGAUGGGACUCUGUGAAUCCUAUAGUCAAGCAAGGAGUCAGAUACUCUUGAUGACUCCCCUUCCAUCUGUCAACCAAGCCUACAAUAUGAUUAUGGAAGAUGAGGCUCAGAAACUCAUCGUAGGGUCAAAUAAGUCUUCACCUAUAGAAGGAGCUGCUAUGGCUGUGGGUAGAGGGCAAGGCCGAGGUAGAGGACGUGGACGUGGCAACUCUUCACUCGAAUGUGCUCACUGUCAUAAACGUGGGCACGUUAAAGAAAUUGCUAUAAAAUCAUUGGCUAUCCAGCUGACUUCAAAGGUAAUAAGAAUAAGCAGUCUCAAGAGAUUAAAGCUAAUCAAGGAAAAGGUGAGGCUACUAAUGGAGUGGAUGAAGGGCAAACUGUGGCGCCAACCUUUACUCAAGAACAGUAUAAACAAAUAUUGCAACUGUUAAGGAAGGAUUCUAAGCCAACCAUCUAUGCACUCACUGGUACAGGGAUGAGUGGCUGCAAGCCAUUGUCGGUUCCUAUGGCACAUAAUAUGAGGUUAACAGCAUAUGAGGAAGGAAGGAACAAGAAAGAGGAACUGUUAAAGGACCCAGGAGAAUAUAGAAGACUUAUUGGUAAGUUAAUCUAUUUGACAAUGACACGUCCUGACAUUUCUUUUUCUGUGCAUCACUUGACUCAAUUUAUGCAAACCCCUAUGAAAAUACAUAUGGCAGCAGCAAAGAAUGUGCUGAGGUACUUAAAGAACAAUCCAGGCUUGGGAAUACUCUUGAGUUCCUAAGGCAAUUCAAAGUUGAACUGCUUCUGUGAUUCAGAUUGGGCAGCAUGUAACACUACAAGAAGAUCAAUUUUUGGUUAUUUAUUAAAGCUAGGAGACUCCUUAAUCUCCUGGAAAACAAAGAAGCAGAGUAUUGUAUCAAAAUCUUCAGCUGAAGCUGAGUAUAGAGCCUUAAGUGUUGCUGUUUCUGAGAUAAUAUAGGUGUUGGGACUGAUGAAGGACUUGGGAUUGCAUAGUUUAGCUCCUGUACAAGUUUUCUGUGACAGUAGGGCAGCAAUCCAUAUAGCCAAGAAUCCAGUGUUUCAUGAAAGAACCAAGCACAUAGAGAUAGAUUGUCAUUUUGUGAGAGAAAAAUUACAGCAAAGAAAGAUUUCUCUACAUCAUGUACGUUCAAUUGAUCAGGAAGCAGAUGUAUUAACUAAGGCUUUAGGAAAAGGGUCUCAUAAUAGGUUUCUUUCCAAGUUGAGAACUAUUGAUUUGCAUAGUUCAAAACUUGAGGGGGAGUGUUGAGAAUAAAUAUAGUUAGUUAGUUAGUUAGUUAGUUUGUUGAGCACACCUGACCGUGUAUUUGGUCUCUGUUAUGGUGUUUUGGUGUAUAUAUAAUCACAGUGGAAACAUUGUUUUAAUCAAUGAAAAAGUCACGAAUUUCUUUGGCUUAA
This is a long non-coding RNA of Prosopis cineraria, 2605 nucleotides long. RefSeq lists it as uncharacterized. The transcript is spliced from 2 exons. The record is from RefSeq and is a predicted model, not a curated record. NCBI's taxonomy places the organism in Eukaryota, Viridiplantae, Streptophyta, Magnoliopsida, Fabales, Fabaceae.